UUUUUUUUUUUUUUUUUUUUUUUUUUUGUUUUUUCUUUCUUUCUUUCUUUCUUUUUCCUUUUCCUUUCCUUUUUCCUUUUUCUUUUCAGUUUUCUCGGUCCAGGCCCAGAGGGGCUCUUCGUUUUUUACCCUAAUUAUGUCCUUUAAAUGCUGCAUUAAUUACUGUGCAUGUCAGAGGGAGAGAGAGAGGGCAGAGGUGAAUACGAACAGUCAGAAUACCAACAGCCAAGCCACCACUAGCCACCACGAGCCACCACUCAACAGCCCCUUUCCUCCUCCGCGAACCACCACCAUCGGCCUAGCCACCACUCAACCGCCACUCUCCCCCUCCGCGAACCACCACCAUCGGCCUAGAGCCACCACUCAGAGCCACCACGAGCCACCACUCAGAGCCACCACUCAGCGCCACCCUCCCCCUCCGUGAACCACCAACACAAGAAAAAACCAAAAUCAUCUUGCUCAUACUAUUCAUUUCCUUCCCUAGAAAUCGAAACGUUAGAACAGAAACCCACGCGAACACAGUAACCCACUCACUCACGCGGCCUAAAGCCUACACCAACCACCACCAUCAGCCGACACCCACAACCCAAACUGUAACCGUUUCCACUCUGAAGCUUAAACGAUAACAUAAGAACAAAGGUAGUUCACUUUUUUUCUAAGAUUCAAGGCUAGAUCUAGGCUUUAUCAGUAUUGGUUUUCAAAAAAUAACGGUGGAUUUGAGAACUAGGGAAAAAAAGGAAUUCAAAACAUGUAGUUUUUUUAAAAAAGGAGGAGUUUCUUUUUCCGACGCGGCGGCGCCGCCACCCAUGGCCGGCCAGCCACUGCGCCGGUAAACA
RNAcentral lists this long non-coding RNA (836 nucleotides) under Glycine max (soybean). RNAcentral's name for it is "long non-coding RNA (GMAX_LNC003634)". The record is from RNAcentral. Lineage: Eukaryota; Viridiplantae; Streptophyta; Magnoliopsida; Fabales; Fabaceae.